GGUUAAGUUAGAAAGGGCGCACGGUGGAUGCCUUGGCACUAGGAGCCGAAGAAGGACGGGACUAACACCGAUAUGCUUUGGGGAGCUGUACGUAAGCGUUGAUCCAGAGAUUUCCGAAUGGGGGAACCCACUAUCUUUAGUCGGAUAGUAUCCUUACGUGAAUACAUAGCGUGAGGAAGGCAGACCCAGGGAACUGAAACAUCUAAGUACCUGGAGGAAGAGAAAGAAAAAUCGAUUUCCUGAGUAGCGGCGAGCGAAACGGAAAGAGCCCAAACCAAGAAGCUUGCUUCUUGGGGUUGUAGGACACUCUAUACGGAGUUACAAAAGAAAGUUAUAAAUGAAGCGGUCUGGAAAGGCCCGCCAAAGACGGUAACAGCCCGGUAGUUGAAAUAGCUUUCCCUCCAGAGUGGAUCCUGAGUACGGCGGAACACGUGAAAUUCCGUCGGAAUCCGGGAGGACCAUCUCCCAAGGCUAAAUACUCCCUAGUGACCGAUAGUGAACCAGUACCGUGAGGGAAAGGUGAAAAGCACCCCGGAAGGGGAGUGAAACAGUUCCUGAAACCGUGUGCCUACAAGUAGUUAGAGCCCGUUAAUGGGUGAUAGCGUGCCUUUUGUAGAAUGAACCGGCGAGUUACGAUUUGUUGCAAGGUUAAGCGGAAAAAGCGGAGCCGUAGCGAAAGCGAGUCUGAAUAGGGCGCAUAAGUAACAGGUCGUAGACCCGAAACCAGGUGAUCUACCCAUGUCCAGGAUGAAGGUAAGGUAAUACUUACUGGAGGUCCGAACCCACGCACGUUGAAAAGUGCGGGGAUGAGGUGUGGGUAGCGGAGAAAUUCCAAUCGAACUUGGAGAUAGCUGGUUCUCUCCGAAAUAGCUUUAGGGCUAGCCUCGAGGUAAAGAGUCAUGGAGGUAGAGCACUGUUUGGACUAGGGGCCCUUCUCGGGUUACCGAAUUCAGAUAAACUCCGAAUGCCAUGUACUUAUACUCGGGAGUCAGACUGCGAGUGAUAAGAUCCGUAGUCGAAAGGGAAACAGCCCAGACCACCAGUUAAGGUCCCCAAAUAUAUGUUAAGUGGAAAAGGAUGUGGGGUUGCUUAGACAACCAGGAUGUUGGCUUAGAAGCAGCCACCAUUGAAAGAGUGCGUAAUAGCUCACUGGUCGAGUGACCCCGCGCCGAAAAUGUACCGGGGCUAAACAUAUUACCGAAACUGUGGAUGAACCUCUUUAGAGGUUCGU
RNAcentral lists this ribosomal RNA (1231 nucleotides) under Listeria monocytogenes. RNAcentral's name for it is "partial 23S ribosomal RNA". It matches the Rfam family "Bacterial large subunit ribosomal RNA", at positions 1 to 1226 of the family's 2925-position model. Lineage: Bacteria; Bacillati; Bacillota; Bacilli; Caryophanales; Listeriaceae. The record is from RNAcentral.